RNAcentral lists this long non-coding RNA (321 nucleotides) under Elaeis guineensis (African oil palm). Its description in RNAcentral is "long non-coding RNA (EGUI_LNC046617)". Lineage: Eukaryota; Viridiplantae; Streptophyta; Magnoliopsida; Arecales; Arecaceae. The record is from RNAcentral.
GGAUGCUUUUUCUCUUGUAAUUUGGAGUCUUUUUUAUAGGCUUUAGGAGGGGAGGGAUUUUUGUUGUUUACCGAUGUGGGACUAUAGGAUGUCGCGUGCUGUGAAGAGUUUGAAUUCUACUCGGUUUCGAUACCUGAAUCUCAUUAAAAUUCCUGGCUUUUAUAUUUGUACCAAAGUUUCAUGCUCGCUGGUCUCGCUCUCUGUCUCAUCGCGUCUGCAUAUCAGUCGGCAUCCAAAUCCACAGGCCUUUUGAAAUGCUCCCAGGCGAUCAUGCUUGAACUGGCCCCACUCCAUUUCCUCGUUCGUUUGAGUCCACAUGCA